Non-coding RNA from Salvelinus sp. IW2-2015, 1004 nucleotides. NCBI's taxonomy places the organism in Eukaryota, Metazoa, Chordata, Actinopteri, Salmoniformes, Salmonidae. The record is from RefSeq and is a predicted model, not a curated record.
CGGUUACUGGUUAACUCACUCUAACCACUAGGCUACUUGCAGCAUUAUCUUGUAGUGUUUGUGCUAGAGUGGGAGAGACUUCUGUGGAUUAACAUGGGAAAGCCCAGUGAAUAUAAAUAUAACCAUUUUAUUCACAUGCGCAAUCUUAGUGAACUCAGAGACUGACAUUGGUUUACAUCGACAGAUACAAACCAUUGACUUUUGGUGCUAAAUUGACAUUGAGGACAUUGAGUUGGAUUCAGGAAACCAUUUCCUUUUGGUACUCUACUCUCCCCUGUCUGUAGGUGUGUGUUUGGAGCUGUGGUUCUGUCUGGGGGUGGUAGAGGUACCUAAGGCUGUGGGACCUGUCCUCCUGGGUCAACGAUCAGACCCUCACCUACAACGUCCACAAGGUGAGGAGGGACAACACAGAGGAGGUCCUCCCCAUGAGGAAACACCAACAGGUCUCUGUCUCCCUCUGGUGACGGCUACGAGGUGUGCAGAUCCCUACGGCUCUGCACGGUGCGGGUCUGGAACCUGGCCAGGUCAAGUUUCACAGGGUGGCCAGUCAGAGUGAAUUACGGUCUCCAUGGCAACACCGAGGUGGCCUUGGCCCAUGACAUGAAGCUGUACAUCCUGACAGACAGAGGGACAGCCAUCUUCACUGACACCCCCUCACCCAUAUUCCAGACUCUGCUGGUCUAUGUCCUGUUCAAGAGAAGCUAGCUGAAGAGACAGUCUGGUCUUUACAUCGCCCCCUGUCCCCGACACAAAUAAAGGCUCCUGGUCGGACAGCUACUCCUGGGCUUGUCUGAGACAAGGGACCAUCUGGUAGUGUGGGACCUAGAGUCUGGGUAUAUCAAAGGGAGGAGACAGGCAGUCCCGGAUACUACUAUCAUUAAGUAGACCACAGCUCAGGUGAGGACAGAGAGCCACUCUGCUAAGAAGAGGAGGACGAAAAGGGAGGCGCAAAGGGAGCAGAGCAGGUUGGACAGGGAGACAUGUCUCUCCAUCCCUCUGAUCUC